GCAGCCGCGGUAAUACCGGCAGCUCAAGUGGUCGUCGCUUUUAUUGGGCCUAAAACGUCCGUAGCCUGUUUGGUUAAUCUGUGGGUAAAUCAACCAGCUUAACUGGUUGAAUUCUGCAGAGACUGCCAGACUAGGGACCGGGAGAGGUGUGGGGUACUCUAGGGGUAGGGGUAAAAUCCUGUCAUCCUUAGAGGACCACCAGUUGCGAAGGCGCCACACUGGAACGGAUCCGACGGUCAGGGACGAAGCCUAGGGGCACGAACCGGGUUAGAUACCCGGGUAGUCCUAGGUGUAAACGCUGUGAACUUGUGUCGGGAGUACGCAAUGGGCCCCCGGUGCCGGAGUGAAGAUGUUAAGUUCACUGCUUGGGGAGUACGGUCGCAAGGUUGAAAUUUAAAGGAAUUGUCGUGGGAGCACAGCAAUGGGAGGAGCGUGCGGUUUAAUUGGAUUCAACUCCGGAAAACUCACCAGGGCCGACUGUUAGAUGAAGACCAAGGUAAUGAACUGGUCGGAUUUUCGGAGAGGCGGGGCAUGGCCGUUGUCAGUUCGAAAUGUAAAGCGUUUUGUUAAGUCAGAAAACGAACGAGACCCUCAUCUUUAUUUGCUACCCGUCUAUCCGGAGGCGGCGCACUAUAGGGAGCCCGCUGGUGUUAAACCAGAGGAAGGGGAGGGCAACGACAGGUCAGUAUGCCCCGAAUGUCGUGGGCUACACGCGCGCCACAAAGGACGGGACAAUGGGAAGCUAGGCCGAGAGGCCACGCUAACCCGAAACCCGUUCGUAGUUCGGAGUGAGGGCUGUAACUCGCCCUCAUGAAGCGGGAUUCCGUAGUAAUCGUGCUUCAACAUAGCACGGUGAAUAUGCCCCUGCUCCUUCCCCUCACCCCCCGUC
This 889-nucleotide ribosomal RNA is filed under the name uncultured marine archaeon. RNAcentral describes it as "SSU rRNA". It matches the Rfam family "Archaeal small subunit ribosomal RNA", at positions 461 to 1354 of the family's 1478-position model. The record is from RNAcentral.